AGGAAGACUACCAAAUCAGCCGAGUCAUCCAUUGUGCCAAGAGGUGAUGAAGCACCGGCAACCGCUAUGUAUUUUCCACCAAGCCAAAGCUUAGAAAUUACAACCAAGAAGAAAGGAAAACAUAGCCAAACUUUGAAGACUACAAACAAGAAAAAUGCAAAAGGGUGUAAAAGAUCAGGGAAGGGGAAGAAGAUGGAGCUUGCUAAAAAGGACGAAAGUUGUCCUAUGGUGCCACCAUUCGACAGCCCCGCAAUGAGCACAAGAUGCAAAAAAGCUAACCCAGCCAGCCCCGCAAUGAGCACAAGGAGUAGAAGAAGACUUAGCUUGUGAACUAAAUUUAAUUUCUUUUAGUUAGAGUCACUUCUGUUGCUGCUCAAGUCAUGUUGUGUGGACUUGGACUCAUAUGGGAACCUUAUGUCACUUUUGUGUAGUCCAUAUCAUGGACUUGGACUAUGUACGCGAACCUGGACAUGAUGACAAUCCUUUUGUGUUGCUCAUAUGAUGUAGAUUAUGAUGUAUGUGUGGGAUUGGACUCAUAUGUGAUCAUGUAUAUGUUGGAAGCGAUAUAUGUGUACUUGGAUGGGGGC
Long non-coding RNA from Triticum dicoccoides, 587 nucleotides. RefSeq lists it as uncharacterized. Lineage: Eukaryota; Viridiplantae; Streptophyta; Magnoliopsida; Poales; Poaceae. The transcript is spliced from 3 exons. The record is from RefSeq and is a predicted model, not a curated record.